RNAcentral lists this ribosomal RNA (301 nucleotides) under uncultured bacterium. RNAcentral's name for it is "partial 16S ribosomal RNA". It matches the Rfam family "Bacterial small subunit ribosomal RNA", at positions 509 to 809 of the family's 1533-position model. The record is from RNAcentral.
CAGUCGCCGCGGUAAGACGAACCGUCCGAACGUUAUUUGGAAUUACUGGGCUUAAAGGGUGCGUAGGCGGCCCUACAAGUCAGGUGUGAAAUCCCACGGCUCAACCGUGGAACUGCGCUUGAAACUGUAGGGCUUGAGGGAGAUAGGGGUGAGCGGAACUGAUGGUGGAGCGGUGAAAUGCGUUGAUAUCAUCAGGAACACCGGCGGCGAAGGCGGCUCACUGGGUCUCUACUGACGCUGAGGCACGAAAGCUAGGGGAGCGAACGGGAUUAGAUACCCCAGUAGUCCCUGUCUCUUAUAA